UAAGGAAUCUUCCACAAUGGACGAAAGUCUGAUGGAGCAACACCGCGUGCAGGAUGAAGGUUUUCGGAUCGUAAACUGCUUUUAUAGAGGAAGAUUAUGACGGUACUCUAUGAAUAAGGACCGGCUAACUACGUGCCAGCAGCCGCGGUAAUACGUAGGGUCCAAGCGUUAUCCGGAAUCACUGGGCGUAAAGCGUGCGUAGGUGGUUCGUUAAGUGAGAUGUUAAAACGUGUGGCUCAACCAUAUCGUUGUAUCUCAUACUGGCGAACUAGAGGAUGGCAGAGGCAAGUGGAAUUUCUCGUGUAGCAGUGAAAUGCGUAGAUAUGAGAAGGAACACCAAUGGCGAAGGCAGCUUGCUGGGCCACCCCUGACACUGAGGUACGAAAGCGUGGGGAGCGAACAG
Molecule: ribosomal RNA, 403 nt
Filed under: uncultured bacterium
Lineage: Bacteria
Description: bacterial SSU rRNA
Rfam family: Bacterial small subunit ribosomal RNA
Source: RNAcentral